AAAAUGAGCCUGGUGAUCUGUUUCCAAUAGACAGGAGUCGUUCAUUUCAAUUGGAGAACUAUAUCCAACUGGAAUGCUUGCAUCUCAUCAAUGGUUUUAAAUCUCUUGUUCCAUUUAGAAUCCUUUCUAUUUUACAGUUGUUUCUCACUGGUGCCUGUAGUAACAUCAGGUAUUUCUCAGUUUUGAGAAUGAACUAUUUGUUUCUUUAAACACAGGACCCCACACCUUGGAUUUCACAGCCUAUUGAAAUCAAGGUCAACUGGAAACUAAUACUCUGCUUCCAUUCUUCUUUUUGUGCCUUCAGAUUUCAACUGAGAGGACAGCCCCAACUACAAUGUCUUCUCCCCAACUCCAUACCAUGAAGAGGAGAACCCUUAACCACCAGCGACAGAGACAGUAUUGAGCACUAGCACAUGGCCUGGAGUUUUUGUAAAGUGAAUACAUUUUUGAAAGAAGGAAAAGAAACAAAAAGGAAGAAAAAGAAAGAAAGAAAGCAAGAAAGCAAUGUUCUUCAUAAAUGAUACAUUAUAUAUAUAUUUCUGUUUUUAUAGACUAUUUUCCAUUUAUUUCUUUAAAAAAUCUUUAAUUGUAGUUGGCAUGUAGUAUAUUACUUUCAGGUGUACAGCAUAGUGAUUCAACGAUUACAUCCAUUACGAAAUGCUCACUGUGAUAAGUCUAGUUACCAUCUUCACCUUACAAAGGUAUUACGAUAUUACGGACUGUAUUUCUGAUACUGUACUUUUCUUUCCUAUAAUUUAUUUUAUAACUGGAAAUUUUUACCUUUUUAUCCCUUUCACCUGUUUCACCCAUCCUGCCACCUGCCCUCCUCAUUGGCAAUAACCAAUUCUCCGUAUUUAUGUCUGUUUCUGUUUGUUUUGUUUUUAAAUUCCACACAUAAGUGAAAUCAUAUGGUAUUUGCCUUUCUCUGUUUGACUUAUUUCACUUAGCAUAAUCCCCUGUAGGUCCAAUGAUACACUAUAGUUAAAUUUUUAGACAAGCAUUGUGAUAAUUUUUAAAAAAACAACGUUUGAGGUUAAAUACCUACUUCUAAUCAGACUGAUGGCCAUUCACAAAUCCAAGUUUGCUUGAUUAAACCUUGAUUCAGGAAACAAACAUCUCAGUUCCAGACUUCGGUUUCAAUGCCAUCAGGGGUUAUAAAAUAAAGAUAGCUGCCCCCACUAUCACUUACAGAAGAUGACCCACAUAGAUAGCUAAGAACUGAAUCAAAUCUAUUCUGACCAAGAGAAAAAUGCAAAAAUCUUUAGAAAGACAAGUCAACAAGCUGGGUCUCAGUAACACACAGGUAAGAGGGAAACAGGUGCUAUUCUUUCUUUCUUUCUUUCUUUCUUUCUUUCUUUCUUUCUUUCUUCUUUCUCUUUCUUCUUUCUUUAUAUUUUUCUUUCUUUCUUUCGAAAAAGGAGCUAUUUCCAAGAUAUUUGGCAUUUUGACAGUUCUUCACCUGGGCAUAAAAAUUACUUCCUAUUUACAAAGUACAUGGAGAAGACAAUAUAAUGGAGUGGUCACACCCAGGGUUCUAGAGCCAGAAUGCCAGGCUAACAGGCCAGCUUUACCAUUCACCACUCUCAUGACUUCACCUGUCUCUGUCGUUUCCUCAUUAGUAAAAUAGAAUAAUUGUAACCUCCCUCAUGGGAGUAUAGGGACAUUCUAUGAACACAUAUGGAAUGCUUACCGCCAUGCCUGGCAUACAGUAGGUAGGCGUAAUACGUGUUAGCUAUUAUAAUGAUCCACUUACACUACUCUUCCAGGUUGUGUGUGUGUGUGUGUGUGUGUGAGAGAGAGAGAGAGAGAGAGAGAGAGAGAGAGAGAGAAAUGAAGAAGUGACUGAAAGUUUUUCAAAUGCUUUCUAGUACCUAUAGGGAAAAGUUGUUUUUCUUUUUUGACCUAUAAGCAUGGUCAAUUUAUUUUUCUCUAAAGGCUUUAUUUAUUUAUUUAUUUGAGAGAGAGAGAGAGAGAGAGAGAGAGAUCAUGAGCAGGGAAGAGAGACAAGCACACUCCCUGCUGAGCAGGGAGCCCGUUGUGGGACUUGAUCCCAGGACCCCUGAUCAUGACCUGGGCUGAAGGCAGACACUUAACCAAUUGAGCCACCUGGGUGCCCCUAAACAUAGUCAAUCUACAAAGAAAAGUAUUAAAUAACUUUUCAUUUCUGUAAUGGUAGGACUUGUUCUUGGCGUUUUAUUAUUUUUUAAAUACACUGUACUGUUUUUAUUUUAUUACUUCAUUUUAUUUUGCCAAUGUUUUAUUCAGGAUAUUUUCAUCAGGGCACUUACAGGAUUAAUACUCCUGUUAUUUUUUUCUGCGAUAUCUUGCUCAAGUUUUGAAUUGAUUCAUGGUGAUUUGUAAAACAACAAAAAUGGAAACAAGUUAGGACAUCGGUUUUGCUUUCUGUCCUGGAACCAUUUAAUAGCAAAGCUUAACUAUUUCUUGAAAUGGAGAAAAAUUACACUUGUGACAACUUUGAGGUAAGAGUUUCCUUAGAGGAUAAUUAUUAGAGAAACUUAUUAUUUCUUCCAAGAUUAUUGGCUUAUUCUAUUAACUCUCUUAAUCAUUCUUUUAAUAAUUCUAAUAACUCUCUUAUAAAAUUCUCUUAAUUUUGAUAAUAUAUAUUCAAAUUGAAAAAUCACUCCAGAUCACCUGUUUCAAAUCAGCAUAGAACAUUCAAACUAUUUUUACUUUCACUUGUGUGUGUCGUUAUUUCCACAUUCUCAUUUUGUAUAUCAAUAAUGUUUCUGUUUUUUUAUUAGAUGAGCUCACAUUUUUCUACUUCAACAUUUGCCAAAGACCUAUCUACUGUAUUUAUGAAUUUACAGUUUUUUCUAUUUUCAUGGACACUUUUAUGUUUUUAGCUGUUUUUUCCCCCUUCUGACUUAAUUCUGCAUAUUUGCAUUUUUAAAGAAACUUUUUGAGUUGAUGGCUUACUACACUUGUCUUCUUUAUUUUGUUAAGAAUGUGAUUUACAGCUCUGGUCUGUAACUCCUGGACCUCCUUCCAGCAUGCUCCCUGUCCUGGGAGGCUGACUAUGAGGUCUACAGCCCAGGUUCCACCAGAAGGGGUUCCUGAGAUGUCAGGUGUUGGGACAGAUAUGGAGGGAGGGGGAGGUGGAUGAGGUCAGGGUCUUCAUCGUCCUGGCUCCCUUACUGCCGGGUUGCCUUGAGCUCCUGGGUCAGUAUCUGUAUUUCCUGCACCCCUCCAUUUAGUGGCCAGCUCAGUACCUCUGUAUUCCUGAGUUCCAGGAAAGGAAGCAGAGGUGGAAAUAGUUUGGCUGCAUACUAUCUCUGAUAGUUUUCCUGGACCUCACUUUUGUAAACAGUCUAUGAAUAAAU
Nyctereutes procyonoides (raccoon dog) is the source of this 3341-nucleotide long non-coding RNA. RefSeq lists it as uncharacterized. Lineage: Eukaryota; Metazoa; Chordata; Mammalia; Carnivora; Canidae. The record is from RefSeq and is a predicted model, not a curated record. The transcript is spliced from 3 exons.